This 468-nucleotide ribosomal RNA is filed under the name uncultured bacterium. RNAcentral describes it as "partial 16S ribosomal RNA". It matches the Rfam family "Bacterial small subunit ribosomal RNA", at positions 28 to 507 of the family's 1533-position model. The record is from RNAcentral.
GACGAACGCUGGCGGCGGGCUUAACACAUGCAAGUCGAACGGAAAGGCCCUGCUUUUGUGGGCUGCUCGAGUGGCGAAAGGGUUUGUAACACGUGAGUAACCUGCCCUUGAUUUUGGGAUAACUUCAGGAAACUGGGGCUAAUAUCGCAUAGGAGCUCCUCCUCCAUGGUGGGGGUUGGAAAGUUUCGGCGGUUGCGGAUGGACUCGCGGUUUACCAGCUUGUUGGUGGGGUAGUGGCUUACCAAGGCUUUGACGGGUAGCCGGCCUGAGAGGGUGAACGGCGUGCUUGGGACUGAGAUACGGCCCAGUAUCCUACGGGAGGCAGUCGGGGGGAAUAUUGUACAAUGAGCGGAAGCCUGAUGCAGCAACGUCGCGUGCGGGAUGACGUCCUUCGGGUUUUAAACCGCUUUCGCGUGUGACGUCGCGUGAGUGACGGUAAUGGUUAAAGAAGCACCGGCUAACUACGUG